CGUGAAGUCUUUGCUGGCACUCACUGCACUCCUCAUUCUAACUAUCUGUGCUGCAUGCUGAUAAUCUAUUAAGGACUUCUGUGAAGGCACUUUCACACUUUUUUCUGCAGUGCUGUGUUUUCCAUCAGACUACAAGCCACUGGAAGAUACAUAAAAUCAUACAAGCAUGCAUGUCAUGAAAGUAGAAGUAAAACUGCCUACAGGAACAAAGGAGACUAAUGGAAGAGGAGAAAAGCACGAAGGCAUGGGAAUGUAGGAACAUACUCAAGGUAUUUUAGCAGAUAGAAAUUGGGGGAAGAUUGAGAGAGGAAUGGUCCAUGGCCCCGCCAGAAGAGACACUCACAUCCUCAACCUCUUGGAAUCAGCAAUGUUUGAGAUUCUUUUCUCAGGUGUUUACUUAUUUGUGUAUGUGCGAAUGUGUGCCAUUGAGGGCAGAAGGCAACUCUCCUUCCAUCAUGUUGAUUCUGGGGAUUCCCACUCAGGUUAUCAGGUUUGGUGGCAGCUCCCCUUGCCUAUGAAGCCAUCUUGCUGCCCUGAGGUAAGUGAUUUUGCUGUGAUGAUGAUAAUUUGUUGUUUUGCUCUUUCUUAUGCUAUUUGGAACAACAAUGAAGCAAGUUCCAAUUCCAGUUCAUGAGAGGAUGAUCCAGGACCAUGUUUAAGUAAGAGCUUAGCCAGUUUGAGUGUGCUAUACUCCUCUGGAAAUUUCCUGACAAAACACAUUCAUGUAUAACUUGCCUCUAAUCAGUCUUUAAAAAUUCAUUUUAAACAGCAAAAAUAAAAUAUAAUAGGAUAAAGCAAAAAACAUCAUAUUGAAGUUGGACAAGGAAAACCAACAGAAGGGAAAGAGCCCAAGAGAAGGCACUAAAAACAGAGACCCAUUUGUUCACAUACUCAGGAGUCCCAUUUAAAAAACAAACAAACAAAAAGACACUUAACUGAAAGCCAUGAUACAUACACAGAGGACCAGGCACAGACCCAUACAGGCCUAGCCCUGUGCUCACUGCUUCGCUCUCUGUGAGUUCAUGAGUCUUGCUCAGUUGAUUAGAGGGACUUGUUCAUCUGGCGUCACAAUCC
Molecule: long non-coding RNA, 1074 nt
Organism: Mesocricetus auratus (golden hamster)
Lineage: Eukaryota; Metazoa; Chordata; Mammalia; Rodentia; Cricetidae
Exons: 4
Source: RefSeq, a predicted model, not a curated record